UCAUCUAACUAUUAAAUAUAUUGUAAGUGAUCAUAGCCGGUGUGUAUUGUCAAGAUCAAAGAAUAACUUUAGAAAGUUUUAUUUAUUUGGGUAAAAUAAUUGUUGUAAUUUUAUUUGUUACAUAGAAAAACAGAUUCGAUUAACCAUCACCAUAAAUAAAUCAUAAAAAAUGCCCAAAGUAGCUAAGGUGAAAAAUAAAGUACUUGCGGAAAUUCAAAUCACAACAGAACAGCUAUUAAACAAAGGAGAGAAAUUUGAAAAUAUUACCUCCUCCAUCUAAGCAAAAUAUAUCAGAUCCCCAUGAGUUGGUUGAUUAUCAACAUCGAAAACAAAAGAUGUAUAAAAAUAAUAUACAUAAGAAUCGUAUGGUUAUAACGAAUUAAAUAAAAUAUGCCGAAUAAGAUGAAAGUCAAAAACAAAUACAGAGAGCAAGAUCUAUAUAUGAAUGUGCCUUAAAUCUUGAUCACAGUAAUAUUAUAUAUUACAUAAUAUUAUUAUGGUUGAGGUAUAUUAAAAUGGAAAUGCGUAAUAGACAAAUAAAUCAUAAUGCUUGAUUCGAUUAUGUGAGAUUAGUAGAAUCCAAAGGAAAUCCUAAUACUGUAAGAGAAAUAUAUAAACGAGCUAUAACAAAUGUUCCUCCUAAGAGAAGCAAUAUUGGAGACGAUAUAUCUAUCUGUGGAUAAAUUAUGCUUUAUACGAAAAACUUGACACGGAAGGUAUAGAUAGAUGUCAAAUUUACAGAACUUAUUCCACAUAAAUACAUUUUCUAAGAUAUGGCUGUUUUAUACAUAUUUCAAAAUACGACAAAAAAAUUUGACUGUAACGAGAAAAACAUUGUGCUAGGCUACUAUUUGAGAGAUUAUUAGAACGAACUCUUCAUGUCAAAGUUUGGAUAGGGUAUGCUAAAUUUGAAUUAGCUAAUUUUCCAUCGGAAGAUAAUAUUGAUAAUAUUACUUUAGUUUGUAGAAUUUUUAAACGUGGGUAUGAUGCAUUACGUUAAAUGAAGAAGAUGAAUUGUUGGAAAAGAUGGAAAUGAUGGAUGGGAAGAAAUAUUCGACUUUGUAUUUCCGAAAAACGAAUCCCAAAGAUCAAAUCUUAAAUUCUUGGCAUUAGCGAAAGUAUGAAUGAAACAAAUCAUUUCUAGUGAAACUGUUCAAAAUGGAAAUAAAUAAUUAGAAUCGGACAAUUAAAAAUAAGCUAUAUCUUUUAUAUUAUUAUAAUAUUAGGGUGUCCCAUAAGUUUUUUCUGCGCCACACUAUGUAUGACCUCGAGCCGGCUAUGUUAGUAAACAUGUAGGUUUAUCUAUUGUUCGUUUAUGACAUCAAUUUUAGUCAUCUCACAGCUUUUUCAAAGUACAUUUCAUUGGUGACAAAGUCUCCUUUAAAAUCUUUUUCUACGUCGUUCAAUAUGAAUAGCCAACAAAAGUAUUUGCGGCAUGUUAUGCUUCAUUACUUUAAAAAAGGUCCUGCAAAGGAUACUGCAGACGAGAUUUGCACCGUUUAUGGGAGUGGUACUACAAUUAUUAGAACCGUCCGCAAUUGGUUUAAGAAAUAUAGAGCUGGCAAUUUUGAUUUAAAAGUGUAUCAUCAAGAGUAUGCUUGUUGAAAAUUCGCGAUAUAGUGUGCGCGAGAUAGUGGAUGCCAUUAACAUUCCCAGAAUAACGGUACAUAAUCAUUUAAUCAAGAUGGGAUAUGUGAAUCGGUAUGAAGUCUGGAUUCCACGCCAACUGACGGAGACCGACCUUAUGAAUCGCGUCUCUACAUGCAAUUUGCUUCUUCAGCAACAUGAAAAAAACCUUUUUUAAAGAGGCUUGUCACUGGAGACGAGAUUUGGAUUUUAUAUCAAAAUAUGCAUCGAAAACGCAC
Long non-coding RNA from Vespa velutina, 1865 nucleotides. RefSeq lists it as uncharacterized. The record is from RefSeq and is a predicted model, not a curated record. The transcript is spliced from 9 exons. NCBI's taxonomy places the organism in Eukaryota, Metazoa, Arthropoda, Insecta, Hymenoptera, Vespidae.